RNAcentral lists this long non-coding RNA (1257 nucleotides) under Calidris pugnax (ruff). RNAcentral's name for it is "lncRNA (ENSCPUG00000002330.1)". Lineage: Eukaryota; Metazoa; Chordata; Aves; Charadriiformes; Scolopacidae. The record is from RNAcentral.
ACUUCUUACAGAAGCCUGCAGCCGUUGACUUUAGGACCUAGAGGAGUAUUAAAAGACUGUGAGUAGCAUUAGACAAAAGGGGUACUAGGUAGAUCAUAUAUAAUUUCCUGUAGUAUUAAAAGAGGGUUCUUCUGUAAUACUUAAAUAAUUCAAGAUGUACGCAGUGGUAAAAUUGUACCUGAGCAAAAAAUAACUCAAUAUUGUAUUUUGAUUAUACGCUAAAAUAUUAAUCAGAGUAACAAUAAAUUCUUAACUAUGUUUCUAAGGUGUGUUUAAAACAUGAACAAGCUUGUCAAAAGCUCAACACUGUGCACAAUGCCAAGCUUUGAUACCCUAAGUAGUUUCAUUGACAUUAAAAGGGACAGUUCAUCUUCAGUUACACAGGUGUUCAAAUUGUUUUUGUUUCUUUUUUACAGAGUCUUAAGAGGAUAUAUCUUCAUUCAUUGAUGCUAAGUCUUAAUGGAAAAUAAACCCCUACUUUUAGCAAGUGCCAAAUGUUAUUGUUCAGAAAGCUGGAGUCUCCCUAAUGAGUAGUAUCUGAGCUUAAUCACUUGAUAAAUUGCAAGUGCUGUUUUUCUUCUAACGCCUUAACAAGUCUAUCAGUGUGGUUACCUCUUUUUAUCUUUAUUUCUAUAUUCUUCUGUCUUUGUUUCAGUUAUUAUAGUCUCAUUUGCACUCCCUCCCCUGACACCCUUUGAUAUACAAUUGUUACAAAUCAUGGUCAGUUUUGUAAAGUUCAGAAGGAUUUUUUUCCAUUAUACCACAGUUAAUACCUCAUUAGAAAUGUUAUUUCAGAUCCCUUGUGUUUGCAAAGGAUGACCUCAUUCAAUGCUAUGGAAAUGGUAGGAGCAGAGGGGACUUUUCAUCGUCAGACACCAGAAAGAGCAAGCCCAAAUUACAUCAUGACAUUGUACUGAUUAUAAUCAAAGAAAGCUGCAGUCAAUAUGUCAUGGGUCCCCAAAAGGAUGAAAAAUGUGUAUCUCAAACCUUCAAGGAGGUAGAGUUGCAAGUAGAGCAGUGAGUUUCCACAAGAUGAGUUUUAUCUGUUACACAGUGUUGAGAACAGAACCGUCUUCCACAGAACAUUGUGCUUGGGAAAAAAAAACCAACCAGGGAGAGCAGCAAUGGAACAUAAUUUUUGCAAACAGUGUAUAAGGUAUGACAUUUUGCAUUGUUUACUUUUUGUAAGAAGACAUGAGAUAUAUCUUGCUAGAAAGCGUAUAAGCUUUUAAAUGAUUUGAUGCCAGUUUGUUUAGG